This 228-nucleotide ribosomal RNA is filed under the name uncultured bacterium. Its description in RNAcentral is "partial 16S ribosomal RNA". It matches the Rfam family "Bacterial small subunit ribosomal RNA", at positions 568 to 795 of the family's 1533-position model. The record is from RNAcentral.
UCCGUAGGCGGGCGACUAAGUCAGAGGUGAAAUCCCACAGCUUAACUGUGGAACUGCCUUUGAUACUGGUUGUCUUGAGUUAUAGUGAAGUAGAUAGAAUAUGUAGUGUGGCGGUGAAAUGCUUAGAUAUUACAUAGAAUACCGAUUGCGAAGGCAGUCUACUAACUAUAUACUGACGCUAAUGGACGAAAGCGUGGGGAGCGAACAGGAUUAGAUACCCUGGUAGUC